UUGCCGUUGGUGAAGCGGUUGGUGUCGCGGUCGCUGUUGGGGUUGGCGUUGGUGAUGCGGUCGGCGUUGCGCUCGCCGUUGGGGUCGGUGUUGGUGAA
This 98-nucleotide transfer RNA is filed under the name Arthrobacter sp. StoSoilA2. Its description in RNAcentral is "tRNA-Pro". Lineage: Bacteria; Bacillati; Actinomycetota; Actinomycetes; Micrococcales; Micrococcaceae. The record is from RNAcentral. RNAcentral also lists the same sequence under 1 other name.